This 468-nucleotide long non-coding RNA is filed under the name Homo sapiens (human). Its description in RNAcentral is "non-protein coding lnc-ACD-2:2". The record is from RNAcentral. Lineage: Eukaryota; Metazoa; Chordata; Mammalia; Primates; Hominidae.
CACGCUUGCUGUGUCCUGCAGGAGCCAGGCCUGGGGGUGGACUUCAUUCGUCACAAUGCACGAGCUGCCAAGAGAGCCCCCCGGAGGCAUUCCUGCUCACUGCAGGUCCUGGCACAAGUGCUAGAGCAGCAGCGGCAGGCCCAGGAGCACUACAAUGCCACGCAGAAGGGCCAUGUGCCACAUUAGUAGGUCUCACUGCCCGACACUCAGGGUGAAGGACACCUGUGGAGGGUGGGAACCAACCUCUGCCCUCGGGUCAUCAACUCUGAGCCUGUGUACCCACAGCUUGUUGGAGCGCAGGGACCUGUGGCGGCGGGAGGCCGAGGCCCGCAAGCAGAGCCAGCCGGACCCUGCCAUGCCCCCAGGCCACACGCGCAUGCCUGAGAACCAGCGGCUGGAAACACUGACCAAGCUGCUCCAGAGCCAGAGCCAGCUGCUGCGUGAGCUGGUACUGCUGCCUGCUGGGGC